Molecule: non-coding RNA, 4843 nt
Organism: Chrysemys picta bellii (western painted turtle)
Lineage: Eukaryota; Metazoa; Chordata; Testudines; Emydidae
Source: RefSeq, a predicted model, not a curated record
UUACCUAAAUCCAAAGAAGAUGGAAGUGAAAUGCUGCAUAUAGUUGGAAAUAGAUUUCUGGCCACUAUAUCCUCUCCCUGUUCCUCAGGGCUGUGAUGAAUCUUCAUGUAUUGGGAGAAAAGCUGAUGACAAGCUAGAGUCAGGAAAAAAUCCCCUUUCCUCCACAUAUAUACACAUACUCCACCCAUUAUUGCAAGUAGAUGUGAUAUUGGGAUGGGACAGUGUGUUACUGCUUUCUAAGCCAUCUAGUAGCAUUGCUUAGUGGCAGAAAUGGGGACAUUUGUCUGGUAGGAUUGUGAGAGACACAUUCAGUGACUAGGUCUCAGUGGUGCCCACAUUCUAACUGGAGCAAAGCCUACACAGUAUGGGCAUUUUUCCAACAGACCAGAAUGGCAUUGCACUUGAGAUGUGUUUAAAAAUUCAGAUUCCUUUGAACUGUGUGUGGCAUAUUUCUGUAACUAGUUCUUAUAAAAACUAGACUGAAAAAAAUCUUGAAAUAACUAAACACUUAUUGUCCGUGAUUUAACAAGUAGUACUGGAGUGUUGGAAUUCUUGGAAAUCUCAAUAGUCAUGGACAGAUGAGAACUGAUUGGCUUUUUGGCAUGAGCAUUGGAAAGAUUUCCCAGUCAGAAGCUGCCAGGCUGCCUAAUUUUCUUUUUCCAAUAGCCGACUGGUAAAUAAGCAGGUAGUAUAAUAUACUGAACACACUUGAGUCAGGAUGCCUGGCUCCUAUUCAUAGCGUUGCUGUCUUGAGCUGUGACAUUCUGAAAUCUGGGUAAUAUAAGGCUCCCUACCUUGGAGGCUUAGCUAAACAAGCUUGUGAAGUGCUUUGACAUCCAUGGUCAAAAUGUGCUUAUAGCAAUAACAACUAUAUGUACUAUUUGAUGUUAACGUACAAAUUGCAGGUAAAUGCGUUUACCAUUUUGCAGCGGCUUAACAAGUAAUUCUUGUAUACAGACUGUGGGCCAGAUUCCAGGGUUGGCAAUUUCCUGGGAAAAACUAGUUUAGGACAGAGCACUGGUAAAUACCAGUUUAAACUGGGAAAAAUGAAGUUAUUAGACUACUAAUGAAAAUUACUGAAAUAUAUAGAUUGCAAAAAAAGUAUCAAAUUGCUAAAUAUAUUGGUUACAUAAUAUGAAAAUAAGAGUCAUGACAUCUAAGUUCCUUGAGAAAAUACCAGAGCAAAAUGUAUACAGAUAUUCUGAUGUUUAGUAUUAUGUAUACUGCAGUUUUAAUUUGUAUUUGUACAACAACCUAAACUAAUCACUGAAUCUUCUGCCUUAUGGAACCACACUUUGAAUAUGUAACUAAGGUUAAGCAAUGUGGUGUACAUUAAUGAAACAGUUUUUUAAAAUAGAAAAUACUUUGAACUGGGACCAACUAGUUGGUGAAAACCAUGAUUUUACUUGGUUAAAACACAGCUCUGGUAAAUGCCAUCCCUGCCAGAUUCUCAGCUGCUGUAAAUUGGUGCAACUGCAUUUACACUAGCUGAGAAUCUGCAGCCUUUUUCCCCCACAGAGCCUCAUGAAGGAGACCAGAGUUGGGUUCCUCUAUGGUUAUCAAGCUAACCAGAAGUAAUAGGAAAGCUGUAUGAUCUCUACAGCGACAAUGCUUAUCUCGGGAGACUUGGGUGGGGGGGGGGAAGCUCUCACAAGCAAAGAGUACCAAGUCCAACUGCUUUUUAAUGAAGGACAGAGAUCAAUCCUUGCUAGACUCAUUAAAGUAAGACUCCUGCCCUCCUUGGUAAUGUUAAUCUCUACCAUGAGCAUGUUAGAAUCAACCCUGUGUGCAUCAUAUGCUGGUUUUGUUGUCUAAAAAGCAAUCUGUGUGAGAACACAACCGGUGAAAGCAUCUUUCCUCCAGGACUUAACCUUGUGGGACCCUUGGGAGUUCUCUACUUACCAGAAAGAAGUGAAGCACUAUCAUCCAUCCCCAUCCUCCAUCAGGGGCUGAUAUGGGUUGCUGUUCCUCCUCCUUCGUUGCUGUUGGCUGAUUCUCUGCGUCUGCCCCCUUCCUUUCUCCUUCAAAUGAGAAUUUCAGGGAAUAGUCACACUUCACCAUACUGAUCAGGCUCUUUUAGACUACAGCUGUCCGCAAGUAAGGAUGACUCAUGCAUGUUCAGGUAUGUUUCCUUGGGUGUAUUUAUACAUAAUUCAGUCUGUGCCAGAACUAGGGGAGCCUGCUUCAUCAUCUGUCUGUGACAAUACCCCACUCAGCGCCUCUCUGAACCUCUUCCCAACCCCAUUGCAGCUAUGCCAUUUUAUUCCUUCACCAUUUAUCUGUGAGGUUUCUGUCUCUUACUGAGUUUGCUCUAGGAGUUUUGCCUCAUAGUGCAGCUGAGACCUGCAAGGGGGUUAGCAGGAUUGUAACCCAAAGCUUUUCUCUUACCGUCAGGAUGAUGCAUAGCAUAAGAUGCUGCAAAAAUAAGAUUAAGGAAAAUCUGUCUUCAUUUGUUGUUGCGACUAGCUACAGCCUCCUGAGUUAGUUCGUUUAAGUCUGUUCCUUAAUUCCUCUCUGCACUAGGGAACACAGGGCUCAUUCUUCUAAAAGAAGCCACGAAGCAAAGGAGGCAGACCUAGCGCAAAAAAAAAAAAAAGCAGCCCCCUAAGUGCAGGGCCCUUUGGACUUUAUCCCUCCCCUCAAAGUAAUUAGCAUAUUCAAGGCAUUUCAGCCCCACCCCUUACCCAAGACCAAGGGUGGGGAAAUGAAGCUCUCUGCUAAAAGUAUCCUGCUUCGAGGAAAUUUGAGUCCUUAAAGUGCUGCCCAAAAACUGCAAGGGAAGGUUUGAGGGCAGCCAUGAGGUUUUGCUAGUUAGUCACCACGCGGGCCAGUAGGUGGCAUCAGUGUACAAAACCAGCUUCCAGUACAGGAGCCACAUCUGAACUUUUGUGUCCCCAUCUUAGCAGGUAGAGAUGGGGAACCAGAGACAGAGGGAUUCCCUCCCUGCCGUAUAGCAGGUACCAUAAGCAAGAUCAUAUUCCUUAAUUCACUGUUGAAUGUUUGUAUAGUCCUGACACAAGGACUGCCUGGAGACCUUCCUGAGGCAUGGUGCUUGGCAGCUGCCCCAACACUUCCAGGCUAAAGCAAUGUCUUCACUGCCAAAAAUGGUGUUUUUACUGCAGCGAAACUAAUAUGCAUUAGCUAGCCUGCUGUAAAACCUUAGUGGAGGCAAAGCACUGUAGUUUUCCGAUGAGGUCAACCACUGAUAGAGGUAUAAUGUUGACGUCACAUGGUUAUCCUGUAGUGCUUUGUAGGAUUUUAAUGUAGGCUAGCUAACGUGUAUGAUCACACUGUUAAACAAAGGAAAACAUCUUUUUUGCAGUGGACAUAUCAUACACACAGAUUUGUGCUGCAAACAGAGGAGGAGAGCUCCCAGUGAGUGAGUGAAAUUAUUAAUUAGCAGUGGCCACAGGUGAGACCUGCAGCUCUCAUCUGCAAUCCUAGGCUCUCCUGCAGCAGCUCAAUUCAUUUCAGGAAAAAGUGGCAUACGCUUCAAUGCAGCAAUGUGGAGGUUCUUCUGGCUGUAGAGGCUCCCCUUGGAAGUGGCUUAGGAAAUCUGCUCCAUGAGAACAGAAGCACAAUGGGAGCAAGCUUACCACCCCCCCCAGACUGUAGUAUUCAUGUGUUGCGCAGCCUCCCUUAUUCCGUUAUCCACUCUGCUGGGUGGAGAUUCUGUGCCCCAUUGUAUUUUAAUUGGAACACCAAAAACCUCUGAUCCCCUUUUAAAAAUCCAGCACAGAUCCUGUCUCAUCUUAGAUUUGGCACAGCAGCCUCAACUGUUUCACUAUCAUUAAUGUGUUUAAACCCCCCUCCAAAAUACCACAGCACUCCCUCAGCUAAGAGCAACGAGCCUAUAAACUUGAAAAUGAAUUUAAAGAAAAAUUUGACAACUUACCUUACUAGCAGAGAGUUGACAGAUUUUCUCAGUAUAUGUGGUGAAACUAAGAGGAUCUUAAGGCAUCCUGGACAAUUUAAGAAUAUACUCUUUACUUUAAUGCAUUGUUUGGUGACUAUGAUUGAUCACCAGGGAAAUUAAACUUGACAUUUCACUUCCUUACAAGAGAUUUGAAAUGGGGUAUUGGUCAAAGCUAUAAUGGCGAGAGACCAUAAUCAACAGAGCUGUAAGAAUACUUCCUAGUCCCCAUUGGCACUACAGGAGGUUGGAGGGUACCAAAUGCAAGAGGAACAGCUUUUAACAAUCACACAGGAAGUUUGAAAAGUAAGGAUCCAUUUGGCCAUAUCCCUAUCAGGGAUUGUAUUGCUCUGAGAUUUAGGACUAAUAGUUACACCAUUUUCCUGCUAAUGGAAUGCUAAAAAUCACUGGGUCUAGUAUUGUAUAUUGAUGUUGACAUUAUCCACUCUGAGUCCACCACUACCUAUCUAUCAAUACUGAAGAGGAACUAAAGUCACCUUUCUCAUACUGAUUUAAAACCAUGCAGUAAAGAUAUUUGUACCUCCAUGGGUUUAGUAAUUGGGACAUUGUCAGGUCGAAUUUGGCCCCAUAUCUAGGUUUUGUAAGUAAGCUUUUACCAUACGUAAAACAAAUGUUUCCCUAUAUAUUUGAACACCAAGGGAGGGAGUUUUUAAACAAUGUUUCCCCUGCAGUGUUUGUAAUUUUAACAGUAUCAUUAGGGGUUAAAGUGUGAGAAUCAUGAUGUGAAAUUGGAUUUGUCAAGCUGCCAUUUCCAGUAUCAAAACAAUAACAGGAGAAGCAAAACACUGUAAGUAGUGCCAUUGAACUUAAAACUUCAAUUUUAAGCCAAGACAUUUGUAAUAGACAAGGAAACUGUUUAUAAAUGUAUGUAUUUUUAGCCAGAUGGGAUUAAAGGUGUCCUACAAAGAA